GCGUUGGGAUCUAAAAUCUGUCAGGCUGCUGGCAGGCCACUGUCAUGCUAGUCACGAAUAUACGGUCCGGGAUACACCUAGUAGCGUACAUGUUUGGCCCAUGGCCUGCUCCUGUACCUCUUCUAGUCUUCGCUGCGGCGUCGCACACGUGAAGGCUGCUCCAUCCUGUCUCCAACAAUGCGCGUGCGACCGAAGCGACGGCCGGAGCACUCGUCCUCUUCCAUUCCGGCGGCCAAACCACCUGGAUCCCGCGUCAUCUUCCACUCCGGCGGCCAGAUCACCUCGAGCCUGCGCAACACCGGAUCUGCAGAGGACGCGGUCCUCGUCCAUGGAUCUGACCGAGGGAAAUCAUUUUCUCCAUUGUUUCCGUCGCAGGAUCCGUGUUGGGAUGGCAAAGCCGAUUUCUGAUGUCUUCCGUCGCGGGAUUCCAUCAUCAUCGCCGAUUCCAGUUGGGCCGCGACGGCGAGGGCACACAGCUGUGCAGAGACGUCGACUUUGAUGUUUGCUCAGAGGCCACCAGCGGUUGGACCAUAAGGGUUAGGAUAAACUGCCUUAUGAACAACAUUUGAAGAGGUCUGCGUUUGCAAGAUUUGUGGAGUGCAAAAGCACAACAUGUCUUGAUAGAGGAGAUUUUCGGAAGGAGCCAAGGAAAUUGCCAAAAUGUUUGAAUGUGGUGUUCUGAAUUGUGUGUGGUAAGGACACUGGACCAUUUGAAGCUAACUUUCAUUGGAUGGUUGUUGUUAGCCAAAGAGUUUCCAACUCAGGAAAUCCUUAUUAUGUGCCAUUUCAUGUAAUCGCAAACUGUGUAAUGCGACUUUACUAUUGGACAUGGACCAUUUUGUUGAAGACUGUUAGUUGGGUGAAAAAUUGUGUUUGCUGAGUGCCAUUGUUGUGAGGCGGAUUGUUAUGUUUCAAUUGAAUUUACCGUUUGCAUUUUUUUUAA
Molecule: long non-coding RNA, 943 nt
Organism: Triticum aestivum (bread wheat)
Lineage: Eukaryota; Viridiplantae; Streptophyta; Magnoliopsida; Poales; Poaceae
Exons: 4
Source: RefSeq, a predicted model, not a curated record